AUGGAUGUGACCAGUGUUGAUCCCCAACAUUGGCAAGCAUUUGUGUUCAAGUUGAUCUGGAACAAUUUGAAGGGUUUCCUCGACACAAAAUCUUCAGCCAAGAUGAAUCGGCAAUGGAUGUACGGUAACCGACUCUCCGGCGAGUUCACUACGGGUUUGAAAGAUUUCCUCGUAGUGGCUAAUGCGAACAAGCAGGGGGGUUUUGUUAUCUGUCCAUGUGUUAUCUGUAAGAAUCAGAAGGGUUACUCUUCCUCAAGAGAUGUUCACAUGCAUCUGCUUCGGCACGGUUUCAUGCCAAGCUAUAAUUGUUGGACCAAGCAUGGAGAAAGAGGGGUUAUAAUGGAAGAAGAUGAAGAAGGGGAUGAUUUCAUCGAUGAAAGCUAUCUUGCUCAUUUCGGUGAUACUUUUAUGGAGGAUGCUGAAGGUGAAGGGGAAGGUGAAGAAGAGGCACGUGAUGAUCCCGUUGAUGAUCUUGGUCGGACCAUUGCUGAUGCACGGAGACGCUGCGAAACUGAAAAGGAGAGGGAGAAUUUGGAUCGCAUGUUAGAGGAUCACAGAAAGGCGCUGUACUCCGGAUGCGAUGAUGGUCUGAAAAAGCUGGGCUGCACACUGGAUUUGCUGAAAUGGAAGGCAGAGGCAGGUGUAGCUGACUCGGCAUUUGAAAACUUGCUGAAAAUGUUGAAGAAUAUGUUUUCAAAGGAUAACGAGUUGCCCGCCAGUACGUACGAAGCAAAGAAGGUUGUCUGCCCUCUAGGUUUAGAGGUUCUGAAGAUACAUGCAUGCAUCAACGACUGCAUCCUCUACCGCGGUGAAUACGAGAAUUUGAAUGAAUGCCCGGUAUGCACUGCAUUGCGUUAUAAGAUCAGACGCGAUGACCCUGGUGACGAUGUUGAGGGCCAGAAACCCAGGAAGAGGGUUCCCGCCAAGGUGAUGUGGUAUGCUCCUAUAAUACCACGGUUGAAACGUCUGUUCAGGAACAAAGAGCAUGCCAAGUUGUUGCGAUGGCACAAAGAGGACCGUAAGUCGGACGGGGAGUUGAGACACACCGCAGAUGGAACGCAAUGGAGAAAGAUCGACAGAUGGUUCAAAGAUUUUGCAGCUGACGCAAGGAACAUAAGAUUUGCUCUAAGUACGGAUGGCAUGAAUCCUUUUGGCGAGCAGAGCUCCAGCCAUAGCACCUGGCCCGUGACUCUAUGCAUCUACAACCUUCCUCCUUGGUUGUGCAUGAAGCGGAAGUUCAUUAUGAUGCCAGUGCUCAUCCAAGGUCCGAAGCAACCCGGCAACGACAUCGAUGUGUACCUAAGGCCAUUAGUUGAUGAACUUUUACAGCUGUGGGGUGGUGUCUGUGUGUGGGAUGAGCACAAACAAGAGGAAUUUGACCUACGAGCGUUGCUUUUCGUAACCAUCAACGAUUGGCCUGCUCUUAGUAACCUUUCAGGACUGUCAAAUAAGGGAUACAAUGCAUGCACGCACUGCUUACAUGAGACUGAAAGUGUACAUUUGCCAAAUUGUAAGAAGAACGUGUACCUUGGGCAUCGUCGAUUUCUUCCGAAAAUUCAUCCAGUAAGAAAGAAAGGCAAGCAUUACAACGGCAAGGCAGAUCACCGGCCGAAGCCUGCGGAACGCACUGGUGCUGAGGUAUUUGAUAUGGUCAAGGAUUUGAAAGUCAUCUUUGGAAAGGGUCCUGGCGGACAAUCAGUUCCGAAGGGAGCUGACGGGCACGCAGCCAUGUGGAAGAAGAAAUCUAUAUUCUGGGAGCUAGAAUAUUGGAAAGUCCUAGAUGUCCGCUCUGCAAUCGACGUGAUGCACGUUAUGAAGAAUAUUUGCGUGAACCUCCUAAGCUUCUUGGGCGUGUAUGGGAAGACAAAUGAUACAAAGGAAGCACGGCAGGACCAGCAACGUUUGAAAGACCCUGAUGACCGGCAUCCGGAAUGGUUUCAAGGUCGUGCCAGCUACGCUCUGACCAAAGAAGAGAAGGUCAUCUUUUUUGAAUGCCUGAGCAGUAUGAAGGUCCCGUCUGGAUUCUCGUCCAAUAUAAAGGGAAUAAUAAACAUGGCGGAGAAAAAGUUCCAAAACCUGAAGUCUCACGACUGCCACGUGAUUAUGACGCAAUUGCUUCCGAUUGCUUUGAGGGGGCUCCUGCCGGAAAAUGUUCGAGUAGCCAUUGUGAAGCUAUGUGCAUUCCUCAAUGCAAUCUCUCAGAAGGUAAUCAAUCCAGAAGUUCUACCACGGUUACAGAACGAUGUGAUC
RNAcentral lists this ribosomal RNA (2250 nucleotides) under Triticum aestivum (bread wheat). Its description in RNAcentral is "partial small subunit ribosomal RNA". Lineage: Eukaryota; Viridiplantae; Streptophyta; Magnoliopsida; Poales; Poaceae. The record is from RNAcentral.